Molecule: ribosomal RNA, 253 nt
Filed under: uncultured bacterium
Lineage: Bacteria
Description: partial 16S ribosomal RNA
Rfam family: Bacterial small subunit ribosomal RNA
Source: RNAcentral
GACGAAGGAUGCAAGCGUUAUCCGGAUUCAUUGGGUUUAAAGGGAGCGUAGGCGGACUUGUAAGUCAGUGGUGAAAUCUGUGGGCUUAACCCACAAACUGCCAUUGAUACUGCAGGUCUAGAGUACAGUUGCCGUUGGCGGAAUAUGACAUGUAGUGGUGAAAUACUUAGAUAUGUCAUAGAACACCGAUUGCGAAGGCAGCUAACGAAGCUGUAUCUGACGCUGAGGCUCGAAAGUGCGGGGAUCAAACAGG